RNAcentral lists this non-coding RNA (369 nucleotides) under Neobacillus massiliamazoniensis. Its description in RNAcentral is "Bacillus sp. LF1 Bacterial large subunit ribosomal RNA". It matches the Rfam family "Bacterial large subunit ribosomal RNA", at positions 1 to 363 of the family's 2925-position model. The record is from Rfam by way of RNAcentral. Lineage: Bacteria; Bacillati; Bacillota; Bacilli; Caryophanales; Bacillaceae.
GGUUAAGUUAGAAAGGGCGCACGGUGGAUGCCUUGGCACUAGGAGCCGAUGAAGGACGGGACUAACACCGAUAUGCUUCGGGGAGCUGUAAGUAAGCUUUGAUCCGGAGAUUUCCGAAUGGGGGAACCCACUGCUCGUAAUGGAGCAGUAUCUUUACCUGAAUACAUAGGGUAUUGAAGGCAGACCCGGGGAACUGAAACAUCUAAGUACCCGGAGGAAGAGAAAGCAAACGCGAUUCCCUGAGUAGCGGCGAGCGAAACGGGAACAGCCCAAACCGAAAGGCUUGCCUUUCGGGGUUGUAGGACACUCAACAUGGAGUUACAAAGGAACGGGGUAAAUGAAGCGAUCUGGAAAGGUCCGUCAUAGAAG